RNAcentral lists this ribosomal RNA (421 nucleotides) under uncultured bacterium. RNAcentral describes it as "bacterial SSU rRNA". It matches the Rfam family "Bacterial small subunit ribosomal RNA", at positions 355 to 774 of the family's 1533-position model. The record is from RNAcentral.
UAAGGAAUAUUGGUCAAUGGACGCAAGUCUGAACCAGCCAUGCCGCGUGAAGGAUGAAGGUCCUCUGGAUUGUAAACUUCUUUUAUCUGGGACGAAAACGGGAUUUUUAUCUCAAUUGACGGUACCAGAGGAAUAAGCACCGGCUAACUCCGUGCCAGCAGCCGCGGUAACACGGAGGGUGCGAGCGUUAUCCGGAUUUACUGGGUUUAAAGGGUGCGUAGGUGGGUAUGUAAGUCAGUGGUGAAAUCCCCGAGCUUAACUUGGGAACUGCCAUUGAUACUAUAUAUCUUGAAUACCGUAGAGGUAAGCGGAAUAUGUCAUGUAGCGGUGAAAUGCUUAGAUAUGACAUGGAACACCAAUUGCGAAGGCAGCUUACUAUGCGGUGAUUGACACUGAGGCACGAAAGCGUGGGUAGCAAACA